This is a long non-coding RNA of Pecten maximus, 319 nucleotides long. RefSeq lists it as uncharacterized. The record is from RefSeq and is a predicted model, not a curated record. Lineage: Eukaryota; Metazoa; Mollusca; Bivalvia; Pectinida; Pectinidae. The transcript has 2 exons.
AUUAGGAUUAUACAGUAACAGUCUGUACUCAGUCAGAAAAGGUUAGGAUUAUACAGUAACAGGCUGUACUCAGUCAGAAAAGAUAAGGAUUAUACAGUAACAGUCUGUACUCAGUCAGAAAAGAUAAGGAUUAUACAGUAACAGUCUGUACUCAGUCAGAAAAGAUAAGGAUUAUACAGUAACAGUCUGUACUCAGUCAGAAAAGAUAAGGAUUAUACAGUAACAGUCUGUACUCAGUCAGAAAAGGUUAGGAUUAUACAGUAACAGUCUGUACUCAGUCAGAAAAGGUUAGGAUUAUACAGUAACAGUCUGUACUCAG